UAUAUAGCCCAGUCCCGUGAAGGUCAAAAGGUCUCAACGCUGGAAAGAAAACAGAAGAGGUCUUCAACCGGAAGUUAAUGAAUACAUGUUAAAAGGAAGAACAACAUUUAUGUGGAGACUAAAAUAUAACUAGAAAGACUCAAACCCAGGCAGCAAAACGAAAAGCCAAGCAGCCUAGGCAAGGAGGGGAAACCACAUCAAAGCAUCGUAGGGCCAGCUUGGGUUUCUGGAAGAAUAGAAAGGUAGCCACUUACUUUUUGCAACCUUGGGAAGAUAUUCGAUCCAUUGGCGAAGCGUGGAGUCUCCCAGGAGACAGGGUUCUUGGCUUGUCUGGAACUCACUCUGUAGACCAGGAUAGCUUUGAAUACAGAGAUUUGACCACCUCUGCUCUUGAAUGCUGAGAUUAAAAUAGUGUACCACCUACAGAUUCAAUGCAACUCCCAUCAAAAUUCCAACACAAUUCCUUACAGGCCUUGAAAGGACAAUUCUCAACGUCAUAUG
RNAcentral lists this long non-coding RNA (501 nucleotides) under Rattus norvegicus (Norway rat). Its description in RNAcentral is "long non-coding RNA NONRATT028514". The record is from RNAcentral. Lineage: Eukaryota; Metazoa; Chordata; Mammalia; Rodentia; Muridae.